RNAcentral lists this ribosomal RNA (253 nucleotides) under uncultured bacterium. Its description in RNAcentral is "partial 16S ribosomal RNA". It matches the Rfam family "Bacterial small subunit ribosomal RNA", at positions 524 to 776 of the family's 1533-position model. The record is from RNAcentral.
UACGGAGGGGGCAAGCGUUAUUCGGAAUUACUGGGCGUAAAGAGCGCGUAGGUGGUUUGUUAAGUCGCUCGUUUAAUGUCAGGGCUCAACCCUGGCGCUGCGGGCGAUACUGGCAGACUUGAGUGCUGGAGAGGGAAGCGGAAUUCCUAGUGUAGCGGUGAAAUGCAUAGAUAUUAGGAGGAACACCAGUGGCGAAGGCGGCUUCCUGGACAGUAACUGACACUGAGGCGCGAAAGCCAGGGGAGCGAACGGG